Molecule: ribosomal RNA, 1369 nt
Filed under: uncultured bacterium
Lineage: Bacteria
Description: bacterial SSU rRNA
Rfam family: Bacterial small subunit ribosomal RNA
Source: RNAcentral
GACGAACGCUGGCGGCGUGCCUAAUACAUGCAAGUAGAACGCUGAAGAGAGGAGCUUGCUCUUCUUGGAUGAGUUGCGAACGGGUGAGUAACGCGUAGGUAACCUGCCUUGUAGCGGGGGAUAACUAUUGGAAACGAUAGCUAAUACCGCAUAACAAUGGAUGACCCAUGCCAUUUAUUUGAAAGGGGCAAAUGCUCCACUACAAGAUGGACCUGCGUUGUAUUAGCUAGUAGGUGAGGUAACGGCUCACCUAGGCGACGAUACAUAGCCGACCUGAGAGAGUGAUCGGCCACACUGGGACUGAGACACGGCCCAGACUCCUACGGGAGGCAGCAGUAGGGAAUCUUCGGCAAUGGGGGCAACCCUGACCGAGCAACGCCGCGUGAGUGAAGAAGGUUUUCGGAUCGUAAAGCUCUGUUGUAAGUCAAGAACGAGUGUGAGAGUGGAAAGUUCACACUGUGACGGUAGCUUACCAGAAAGGGACGGCUAACUACGUGCCAGCAGCCGCGGUAAUACGUAGGUCCCGAGCGUUGUCCGGAUUUAUUGGGCGUAAAGCGAGCGCAGGCGGUUUGAUAAGUCUGAAGUUAAAGGCUGUGGCUCAACCAUAGUUCGCUUUGGAAACUGUCAAACUUGAGUGCAGAAGGGGAGAGUGGAAUUCCAUGUGUAGCGGUGAAAUGCGUAGAUAUAUGGAGGAACACCGGUGGCGAAAGCGGCUCUCUGGUCUGUAACUGACGCUGAGGCUCGAAAGCGUGGGGAGCGAACAGGAUUAGAUACCCUGGUAGUCCACGCCGUAAACGAUGAGUGCUAGGUGUUGGAUCCUUUCCGGGAUUCAGUGCCGCAGCUAACGCAUUGAGCACUCCGCCUGGGGAGUACGACCGCAAGGUUGAAACUCAAAGGAAUUGACGGGGGCCCGCACAAGCGGUGGAGCAUGUGGUUUAAUUCGAAGCAACGCGAAGAACCUUACCAGGUCUUGACAUCCCGAUGCUAUUUCUAGAGAUAGAAAGUUACUUCGGUACAUCGGUGACAGGUGGUGCAUGGUUGUCGUCAGCUCGUGUCGUGAGAUGUUGGGUUAAGUCCCGCAACGAGCGCAACCCCUAUUGUUAGUUGCCAUCAUUCAGUUGGGCACUCUAGCGAGACUGCCGGUAAUAAACCGGAGGAAGGUGGGGGUGACGUCAAAUCAUCAUGCCCCUUAUGACCUGGGCUACACACGUGCUACAAUGGUUGGUACAACGAGUUGCGAGUCGGUGACGGCAAGCUAAUCUCUUAAAGCCAAUCUCAGUUCGGAUUGUAGGCUGCAACUCGCCUACAUGAAGUCGGAAUCGCUAGUAAUCGCGGAUCAGCACGCCGCGGUGAAUACGUUCCCGGGCCU